UAAAUGUGUAGAUUUUGGGUGUGGUUCC
Molecule: non-coding RNA, 28 nt
Filed under: Rattus norvegicus (Norway rat)
Lineage: Eukaryota; Metazoa; Chordata; Mammalia; Rodentia; Muridae
Source: RNAcentral